UACAGAGGUCUCAAGCGUUGUUCGGAUUCAUUGGGCGUAAAGGGUGCGUAGGCGGCGCGGUAAGUCGGGUGUGAAAUCUCGGAGCUUAACUCCGAAACUGCAUUCGAUACUGCCGUGCUUGAGGACUGGAGAGGAGACUGGAAUUUACGGUGUAGCGGUGAAAUGCGUAGAUAUCGUAAGGAAGACCAGUGGCGAAGGCAGCUCGCUGGGACGUUACUGACGCUGAGACGCGAAAGCGUGGGGAGCAAACAGG
This 253-nucleotide ribosomal RNA is filed under the name uncultured bacterium. RNAcentral describes it as "partial 16S ribosomal RNA". It matches the Rfam family "Bacterial small subunit ribosomal RNA", at positions 524 to 776 of the family's 1533-position model. The record is from RNAcentral.